CUUGUGAGUAUACUUUGAGUGUUGCUAUACGGUGCGGGUUUCUGUCAGCACUAUACCGAAAUUCAGUCAGAAGUACGGUUAUUUUGAGGUAAGGGGUAUUAUUUUCUUCUUAAAUGAUAUUUUUUUCUUCAAUAUCAUUAUGCCGAAGUAUUGGUGAACUUUUUUAUCAAAUUUGGAACUUGUUGUGUCAGGGUUACUAUUCACGUAUACGACACUAUUCACGUAUACGACACUAUUCACGAAUACGGCACUAUUCACCGAAAAAAUAAAAAUUUUUCGUUUUGUCCAAAAUAUCUAUUCUGGAUACUAGUUUUGAUUGUAUCCAUGUUUUGAUCUUUCUUGAAUUUUACACCAAUAUGAUUAUUUUUGAAGUAUUUUUGGACUUGGGUAAAACAAAGUACGAAUCCUUAAUCCUUAAUCCUUGUCAUUUUGUUUCACUGGAUUCGUUUCUUUAAAAAUGUUUUUCAUCAUCCUCAGUCCUAAAUGGUGAUAUAAAUGAAUAUCUUUGGCCUGUAGUGCAAAGAUGAACGAUUAACUGAUGAAUAUCUUUGGCCUGUAGUGCAAAGAUGAACAGGUGUUGAGAUGAACAUGACCAACUGGUGAUACAAAUGAAUAUCUUUGGCCUGUAGUGCAAAGAUGAUUAAAGAUGUAUAUUGAUUGUUAUUACAGGGAUAAACUAUUGAUGAUGGACUUUUAAACCUUAGAAGACAGUAGAAUUCUUUCUCUACGUGACUCUUCUAAUGGAUUGCUGUUUCCGC
RNAcentral lists this long non-coding RNA (758 nucleotides) under Panax ginseng (ginseng). RNAcentral's name for it is "long non-coding RNA (PGIN_LNC003614)". The record is from RNAcentral. Lineage: Eukaryota; Viridiplantae; Streptophyta; Magnoliopsida; Apiales; Araliaceae.